Mauremys reevesii (Reeves's turtle) is the source of this 1133-nucleotide long non-coding RNA. RefSeq lists it as uncharacterized. The transcript has 3 exons. The record is from RefSeq and is a predicted model, not a curated record. NCBI's taxonomy places the organism in Eukaryota, Metazoa, Chordata, Testudines, Geoemydidae.
GUUGUCAUUAUGGUGAAACUUGCUCCCAUCUGUCCAUCUGGCCUCUUCAUCGCCACCCCAGAGUUCUCUCUAAAACGGGGCAGUGGCCAAGCAAGUCCCUCCCCUCCUGGUUUUGUCGACCAAUCAGGCCUCCAAUUUUAUUAUCUGCUAGGGACUUCCUCCAUUCAGAUAAUGUUUGAUCCCGGCAACGUGCUCUGUGGAUAUAUAGCUGUAGUUGGGAGGGGGCGUUUGUCACAUGUUACCUACCAGCUCUGUGUUCAGCCUGUAUCCAGCCUGUCUGACUCACAAAGGACCUCCCCCCACCCCAAAGCUCUGCUUGAAUCCAAACAGCUCAGAAGAAAGAUUUACAAAAAGCAAUGAAAUGGCAGGGGGAGACACACCUAAGCCCCUCCGGACAAGGGUGACAGGAUUAAGAAAACUCCCCAUGUCUCAUAUGCAUCAAAGAUGGGACGCAGAGUCACCUCCAUUAGCGCACAGAAUGGAGAACAGACAUUCCAAAGCAAGAACCGCACUGAACUCUGGGACCAGAAAAGCGGGGAAGCACUGCAUGAUGGGGGAUUUUUGCUCCAGAUGUUGAUGACCCCACGCCUGCGCACACCCAGCUCAGCAGUUAUCUGACCAAUUCUAGUAAUAAAUCCUCUAUUGGUAUCCAAAAUACUGAAGCUGCCCAAUGGCAUUAUGAGCUCCCGCGAAGGGACACCGCCCAUAGCCGGGAAUGAUCAGUUCUUAUUGUCUAGCCUGAACAAAACAGCUUUGAAAUACUCCCUUAAAUCAUCAGUUUACCCACCAAGAAAUCUAGUGUCUCCCUUGAACCAUUGCUCUUUUUCUACAAACCCCACCCCCCAUACACGCUCAAGUGAGUGUUCUGAUGCCUGGAUCCAAAAUCUGCAUCAGCUACAUUGGGACUUUAUCUUCUCCUGACUGAUGGUGCUGGGAGCUCUGCUUGUCUCCAGCACUCCAGACUCUCAGCUACCACCAGCACCUGGGACCCCUGGUCGAUUCAAGCUUCACGGAGAGCCAACAGCAGUGUGGUGUUGGACAAAGAACAGGAGCAGAUGCUGGAAAGCGGUCAGACGGAGGUGUUUGUCUCUAAUAGACUGUCCAGUUUGGCCGAUGUACAUAGCAGAGGGGCA